UUUCCUUCCUCCUCCAAGAUUCAAAUCACAAAAAAUGGCACAUAAUAGCUCAAGAACACUCAAAAGUCGAUUAGGGUUUCGUGAAUAGGGUUUGGAGGUGAUGGAGGCUGGAGUGGAUGCCAUAUAAGGUGUUUAAAUAGGGUGCAAACCCUGAAAAUUAGGGUUUCACUAUGGCAGACCUACUCGCCGAGUCGAGGCACCUCGACUCAUCGAGUAGGCUUCAAGUCCCGCGUCCAACAUAUUCAAUCCCUACUCGAUGAGUUUGGGGCCUCCAACUUGUUGAUUCCCUUAACAAAUUUGAAUAUUUUUUAUUUAAAUACGUACUAGGAACUAGGCGUUACACAAUAACCCUACAACAACUAACCUUUCAUCCUUCUUUUAUUGCCUUAAAAUCAAUAUAUAAUCUUUGGAAAGUAGUUGUGUUAUCCAGGUUUUGACUCACAAUAAUUUUAAUUGAAAUACCUGGAUUUGAUCUCAAUAGCUCACCACCAUAACCCUAUACUUUAACAUAGUGGUCACUCAAUCUCCCUUCUAUCAAAGAGAUGACCCUACACUUUGCUCUAUAACACUUUGACCAGGACACAUUUUAGUGGAAUCUGCUUUGCAUAAUUGCCUGUAUUUACUUACACUUCUACUCGGGCUUCCUAAUAAGUUCUUUUAGAAACUGGUUUCUUAACCAUGUUGGACCUAUAAGGUUGUUAUUUUUGCAAUUCCUAACACACCUAUAUUUGUCAACAAGUUUCUUAAUUUGAAACGACGUCUCCGUGUUCAUCCAAGAAACCCUAACAUUAAAUGGACAUUGAAAUUUUUAUGGAUCACUAGCACAUACAAAAACUAGCCUAACAUUGCCAUAUUUCUUAAACUUUAUCUUAUAACCAAUAUAAAUAGCAUGGUUAGUUAAACAUAACUUCAACUGAUGGGGUGAUUCAUACCUCUCUCCCAGAAAUGGUCUCAUCUUGUUCCAUUUAACAUUUGGAUCAUGGGUGUUGUACUCAAACUUAAGCUUAGAAUCUUGGUAACUUUCACUUAAUACUUAUUCAUCAGACCCAUAUACUUCAUCAUACCCACUUCCUUCUCGAAUUAAGCCAAAAUUAUCUUCGUUCUCCACCACAUCAUCUUCAUUUAAGUCAACAUCGUCGUCGAUAUAUUUAAUUUCAGGGAUUGUAAAGUCAUCACCUUCUUCACCAGCUAUGUCGGGACACAAGUUGUUCAAGAAUGCAUCAUUGCAUCUCUUGGUUUGCUUCUUCAAAUCCUUGUCGACUUCAACAUCAAUAGUGUUAAAUCCCAAAUGUCUUCCAUUUCCAAAGAUUGGAAGAUUCGAACUCAUGCCCACAGUUGUCGUCUUCUUCACACAUAAAAAAACCUUAAUUUCUACGGAGAGGAUAUUGGGCUAAUUGUGUUUGACUUACCGUUGAAGGAAUGAGUGUGUGAUGUUUGGUCGACUCACCUUCCACCUAAUCUCAUUUAAUGCCACAUUGAUUUGUUACCGGCUGCAAGAGUGGUAACCAGGUAAACUUAGUCAAUUCGCCGGUUUAUCUAGUAUUUCAUGCUUUUUCAUUAACAUUUAAUAAUUUAGGAUUUUUUUCGUAAAUACAGGCAAAAUAAUAUGACUUAAAUGUUGAUUUCCCUUCUUAUUUCUAUAACAAAUAACACUUUAUAAGUAAGCUUAUAAGGAUUACCACAUUUUUAAUUUUUUCUAAAAAAUGUUGCUAUAGAGAUGUUUGGUUAUGGUUUCAACUUUCAAUAUAAUAACAAAGAUUUACAGAAUCAUAAUAAAAUAAUUAGUUAUUUAACGACAUUUUGAACCAACAAAAAAAAAAGAUAUAUAAAUAAGAGGAAAGUAAACCCCACCUAGCAAGAAUCUAAGGGGCUGUUUGGUAGGAUCUGAAUUUUUAAGAUCUGGAUUUUUAAGAAAUCUGAAUUUCUAAGAGGGUCUGAAAUUUUAAGAGUUGAAUGUUUAACAUGCUGUUUGGUUGGGACAUCUGAAUUGCUGUGCUGAAUUAUAAAAAUGACCAUUUUACCCUUUUGUUUUAUUUUUUAUUAAAUUCAACUAUUUGUUUAGAAAAUAACCUAAUAAAUUUCUUAAAUACGUAUUAACAAAAUAUAAAUACCAUAUAAAAUCCAAAUUUAACAUAAAUCAUAAUUAAACCACACAAAAAGUAGUAUACAUUUUCCAGAAUUGUGCAAUAAACCAAACAAAAAACAUCUAAAGACAUUUCACAACAGAAGUUGAUACAUGAAUUAAUCCUUUCAAAACUCAACUUUCAUUCAACAAAUAUAAUGAAUCUAUAUAAAUCAUCUACCUACAAUUACACAAUACCCCCCACAUUACAUUGCAUCCUUCUUUCCUUGCAAAUUAUCAAGUAGUUCAAUACUUGUUUCUUCAACUGCUUUUAUAAUCAAUUCAUUGAUUAAUCUUGCUUCUUUGUUUACUCCAUUGUUUCUGGUAUCAAACCACAAGUCAACCUGUAUGCGAAUAUUGUAUACAACCCACCAUCAACCAUUAUCCAGCCACCAUAUCCAUUAAUCCAAAAUCCAACAUUACCCUCCUUCACUCUUUCCUGAACCACCGAACACCACCCACACAAACACCAUUCCUACAUUUUACCACCAUCACCACAACCUAUACCGACAAAACCAAAUCACCUAAAAAAGUACACACAAAAAAAUUGACCAUUAACAUCAAAUAUAGAUUACAAUUGAAGAAAUCAGAAACUGAAUAGCAUAACAUAAGAACUGAUUAGCAUAACAUAAGAACUGAUUUGGAGAGUAAUAAAAGAAGAGCAAUCAAUUUUCAGAAGAAGAGAACAAACCUGUUAUCGAUUUCUAAUUUUGGACUUUAGGGCAUAGAAAAUGAUGGGAAGGCUGUUGAGACCAAGCAAACGGGGUUGCAAGGCUGCUGGGACGUCGACGAUCGGCUGGGCGACGUCGUUUCAGGCGGUCUUCGGCGACAGGAACUAUGCGAAUGAAGCAGACUCGAAUCGGGGAAGAAAACACAACUCAAAAAUCAGAAAUUGCUGCUGAGACGAAACAAACAGGGUUGCAACACUGCUGGGACGUCGACGAUCGGUUGGAUGGCAUCGUUUCAGGCGGUUGUCGGUGACGAGAACUAGGCGACGGAAGCAGACGCGACUGGGGAAGAAAACGAAGAAGGAAGACGCAAGUACAGGAGAAUAGGAGGCGGGUAUGUCCGACCGUGUGGUUUAGGGGCAAAACAAGAUGCACGUUUUAUUUUUUUUAUUUUCAGACUUUGUUCAGGAUCUGAAAAAUUAAGAGAUGUUUUUGAUUUUAAGAGGUAAAAAAUAAGACCCAAACAAACGAUGUGAAUUUAAAAUUUUCAGACAUUACCUCUUAAUUUUACAAUUAAGAGGUAAACGAACGGGACCUAAAGGAAACAAAGUACAAGUUUAAAAAAGUAAAACAAUGACCAUUACAUACGACUAAUGGAUAUGAAAUCCAAUUUGGCCAUUGGACACCAUUUUUUUUUAUUUCUAUGCUUAAACCAUAAGAAAGUCGAUGAUAUAAUAAUAUCAAGAACUUUCGUAGUACACACCUUUUUGUUGUUGAAUAUUUUUUCAUCCAUUGCCUUCCAUAUAGACCAUAAAGUCUCGUAGCAAUGACUCUUAAAAUAAAUUAGACUAGUCAAAUUUUAUUAGAACCCCUCCCCCGAUUUAUUUAUUACAAAGUUUAUAAUUAUUAACCCUAAAUUUUAUUAAAUCAAAAGAAAUCACCUCAGUUUAUUUUUCUUCGAUUUGCCAAAAAAAAAAAAAAGCGAGUCAAGUGAUAGAAAGUCGUACACCAGUCACAAAAAUUGAAGAGCACACAACACAAGCCACUGAAAUUUGAAGAGCGGGCGAUCGGAGAAAAUCAUAGCCGCCGCACAUACCCCCUCUUCCGCUUUCUCUUCAAAAUUAUUUUCAAAAAGGGAAGAAAAGAAGCAAAAAGGGUGGGAUGUCAGACCUAGACCGGCAAAUCGAGCAGUUGAAGAACUGUGAACCACUCAAAGAGUCUGAAGUCAAGGCGCUCUGCUUGAAAGCCAUGGAAAUCCUCGUCGAAGAGAGCAACGUUCAAAGAGUCGAUGCUCCUGUCACUGUAGGUUUACCUUUUUACCUCCUCUAUUCAGAUUCAUGUACACAAGUUGCUAUUGUAUGUUUUCUAUGUGCUUUUUGUUGCUAAAAUACUAUGUAUCCAUCUAGACAGAACUCUGGCGACCGAUUUAGGGUUUUAUGUGUGUUCAGUUUAUGAACCGUGAAAUUUUGAUAAAGCUGAGUGUUCAUCGAAUUCAUUAGCUGGGACCAUGUUUCGAUCCGUAUCUUGCAUUUCUAAACUAUCGGUUGAUUUGAUUCUAAAAGUCACAUGUGUAGUUUCUGUAAGGACUGUGAAGGAAGGGGCCUGUUAAUUUGGUAGAAACGUCAGGAGUACUUUCCUUGCUUUCAUAGUACACCCUUAAACUAUAUCCUUAGGGUUUUUUUGGGCGUUCGAUUAAACUUGGUAGACUUGCAGGUAUCUGUAGAAAACCAGUUAUCAAGGACUAUUCCUUGUUUUAAGCAACUUAUUAUAUGAUUCAGACUCUUCAAGUGUCAACAGUCAUAUUGAAAACACUCAUCCAAACACCCCCAAAAUUUGAAGGCCAUAGGAUAUUCUUUACCAGUAAAGGUUGGAAAGUGUACUAACAUGUACUCCAACUCCAAGCUACAAAUUGAAGGCCAGAUUUGAUGAUUAAUGAACAGAAGAGAAACAAUGUCAUGUCUGGUGUCAUGCACAAGUCAAAUCAACUUCAAAGGAAGAACCAGAAACCUGAUGUCACUGUUCUCAAUGCAAUUUAAGGGCUUCAAUUGUUAAAGACAGUUGAGUCUAAUGGAAAUUAUUUAAGCCACAUAACCAGCUUGCUGCUACUUCUUAUUUGACACUGCUGCUUGUUUAAAUCAUUUCUCCUUCUCAAUGGCACUUAUUAGUAAUUUCAAUUUUGUUGUUAUUGACCCUUUUUUUUUCCUGUUGUAUAGAUAUGUGGCGACAUCCAUGGACAGUUUUAUGACAUGAAAGAGCUAUUCAAGGUAGGCGGUGAUUGCCCAAAGACUAACUACUUGUUUCUUGGAGAUUUUGUGGACAGAGGCUUCUAUUCUGUAGAGACCUUUUUGCUUUUACUUGCCCUCAAGGUAAGUUCUACUUCUUAAUCAAAUUUCUCACUUCAAAAUAAGCAAGUAUUGCAUUGUCAGAUGUAAAAUGUCGAUUAUAAAUAUCUAUGCUUACAAACAUGUGUAUAUGGGAUGUAUGUUUCUAGUAUUGCUCAUAAUUUAUGUUAAUUAUAUAGUCCUUUCAUAGUUUCAUUAAGGUUUAGUUUUCGAAGCAUUCAUAUUAUUUUCUUUUAGCUGUUGUGUAAUUAAGAAGUGUUGUAAUUAAUUAGGUAAGGUAUCCUGAUCGGAUAACAUUGAUUAGGGGGAAUCACGAGAGCCGACAGAUCACACAGGUUCCAUUAUGUACUUGAUUUUCAUCUUGAUUUUUUUUAAUAUAUAUAUAUUUUAAAGCUCACCGCUAUUCUCUGUUGUAGGUGUAUGGAUUCUAUGAUGAGUGUCUGAGGAAGUAUGGUUCUGUCAAUGUUUGGAGAUAUUGCACCGAUAUAUUUGAUUAUCUAAGGUCUGCUAACUUCUUGGACUUCCUUUCACUUAUUGUUUUAUACUAGUAAAUGCGAAAAAAUAACAACACACUUUCAUUUAUCUGUGUAUUAUAUAGCAUCAAACUUUUAUUAAGUAGAAGGCUUAUACGUAAACUUUGACAUUGUUGCAGUUUGUCUGCGCUUAUUGAGAACAAAAUAUUUUCAGUUCAUGGUGGUCUGUCUCCCAACAUCAACACAUUAGAUCAGGUGUGAAGAGUGUUCCAUAAGAUAACUAAAUCUUUGUUUUAGUGUAAUCGAUGAAAUGAAUAAAACAAGUAAGAAAGAGUGUGAUUUUUGCAGAUUCGGACAAUUGACCGGAAGCAAGAAGUGCCCCAUGAUGGUGCCAUGUGUGACCUCCUGUGGUCAGACCCGGAGGACAUUGUUGAUGGGUGGGGUCUGAGUCCACGUGGUGCUGGUUUCUUGUUUGGUGGCAGUGUUGUUACUUCUUUUAACCACACCAAUAACAUCGAUUACAUUUGUCGUGCACAUCAAUUGGUAAUGGAAGGUUUUAAAUGGAUGUUUAACAACCAGAUUGUUACUGUCUGGUCAGCCCCAAAUUACUGUUACAGGUAAUAAAACCCUUUCUUUUGCUUCGUCUAUCUCCGCUCCCUACUUUUCCUAAUUCAUUUUUUACGCUUCCACAGGUGUGGUAAUGUGGCUGCUAUUCUUGAACUGGAUGAGAAUCUUAACAAACAGUUCCGAGUAUUUAAAGCAGCUCCACAGGUUUGUCUUCUGCUUCUGCUUCUGCUUCUGCUUUAUCAAUAAUAUUCAAAAUGCUGCCAUGCCAUUUAAUAAUAUUUAUGCCCCUAAUGAUGACUAUACGAAUCACUACUACAGAAUAUUAUCAUGUUAGUGUUUGGUAUGAUGAAAUCAAUCAGGGAGGGAAUGGAAUGAACCAUUUUUUAAGUUUUCAUUCCUUAAGUAAAAGCUGUUUUUCUUUUUAAAUCAUUUCAUGAUUUUAAAAAACCCCAAAAAUUUAUUCCAUUCCUACAACAAAUCAAACAUGAUUACAUUACCUUGUUCAUACCAUUUCUUCGUUGUUUCAUUCCAUCUGUUAUUGGAAUGAAUGUGAUCUGUCAAAGGAAUUGGAAUUUGAUGGAAUCAUAAUCCAUCAUGCAUUUGGCAAUGAAAAUUCAAUUUUAAUUUUAAAAUAUGUUUAUUUAUAUCUAAAUAUUUUUUUUGGUUAUUAUAUAUAUAUAUANNNNNNNNNNNNNNNNNNNNNNNNNNNNNNNNNNNNNNNNNNNNNNNNNNNNNNNNNNNNNNNNNNNNNNNNNNNNNNNNNNNNNNNNNNNNNNNNNNNNNNNNNNNNNNNNNNNNNNNNNNNNNNNNNNNNNNNNNNNNNNNNNNNNNNNNNNNNNNNNNNNNNNNNNNNNNNNNNNNNNNNNNNNNNNNAUAUAUAUAUUAUAAUUAUAAUGAGGGUAUUUUAGUCUUGUAAUAAACCAAGGAAAUUUGAAGGAUUCCGACAGAGUGUAUUCCGUGCGUGUAAUUGGCAACCCCAUGGAAUGGAAUCUGGAAUGAAUUCUGAUUCCAUCAAUUUCCAUUAAACACGGCCUUAUUUUUGGAAUAAAUGAAUAUGGUGAUAUUGAAAUACAGGAAUCAAGAGGCGCCCCGGCUAAAAAACCACCACCAGAUUACUUUGUAUGAGAUAUGAAUAUGAUUACUGGAAUCCAUGAAUCUCCAUUAUCUGUUGGGUCUGGUAUGCAUUUACUUACUAGGAAAGAAGGAAGGAAGAAGAUGAUUGAUUGUAUAUUUUGCAAUGAAGAAGAAGAAGAAGAAGAAGAGAAGAUAGUUUUGGUCAUGAAACCAGCGGAUCUGCUGACAGAUUGGGCAGUGGUUUGGUGUGGUGGAUUCAUCUCACGAGUGAGUGUUUGUUAAGAAAUAGUAGUUAGUGUUACUGUUAAUGUGUGUUAGAUUUUGUAUUGUGUACCCAUUACCAUUAUUUGUGCAUCAUCAUCACAUCAUGUACACAAAAGGUGUGUCAUUAAUUACAACACCAUACAGAUUUACAAAACUGCCACAAACCAUAUCAUAUCAUAUGCUGCUUCAAACCAAACUAAACUAAACUCUGCCAUACUCAAGUUGUGGCAUUAUAAAUCUGUCUUUUUCUGUUUACAUUACACUUGUUUAUGCAUCCAACUUACAACACUCUUUACCAAUUUAUCCUCACAUGUUUCGGUUUGUUAUAGCAAAUUAGAACAUGAUAGCUUCUUAUAAAUAAAUUGGUAAAAAGAUACAACUUGGAACAUUUAGAUCUUGUAAUCUGUCUUGGUGAUAUGUGUGUGCAACAUGGGAUUGACUUUGUAAGAUGAUUUAGGUCAUCUAUCUUGUUUAUUUAUUUAUUAUAUUAAUCCCAUUGUUUAUUGCUAAAAUUGUUACCUUUGUCGUUCUUACAAGUUAUUACCAGUUCAUAAGAUCACCUAGGUUAAUGAUUUUCCUGUUUUGGUAAAUUAAUUAAACUUGUGGUCCAUUUUUAAUUAUUUUGUCAAUGUUGCAAAAUAAUUGUGAUGGAUGUGUAUGUGUAUGUAUGUAUUGGAACUUUCACUAAUACCGUUUUCUAAAGCCUCACAUGCUCUAUCUGUGGAAGAAUGGACAAGUUAGUUAUUAAUUGUAAAAAUGAAAAUGGAAAAUGAUAUAUUUACGUUGACUGAAGUAUGUAGGACACCAUGAGUUUGGAUCAUGAGACAUUAAGUACUCAUAUCCCCCAUAUCUAUGGCUUGAACCAAUUUUGCUGCGUCACUUUGUUAUCCUAUAAAACCAACAAAAAUGGAAUAUUGGCCUAAUUAAAAAAAAAAACAAUAAUAGACUAAAUAAAACCAAAACUAAUAGCUGGUCGAGUUUAAGUGACAUUAACCCUUUUUUUAAAAUGAUAUCUCCAUAUAUUAAAUCUAAAUCCUAAACCUUGUUAUUCCUUUUCUACCACUUAUCAAAUAUCCUAACUUAGUGCGAAUAAUACGGUGUUAUUCCUUGUCUUAUAGAUUUAUACAUCUAUUAUUAAUCCACGAAGUCAACAGUAUCGUCUCGAAUAUACGUACAAAAGUAGGUAACGUAUAUCGCUGAUUUGGUUGAUUGUUUGCAAAUGUUUAUCCAUGUUCGAUAUUGACGCCAUUUAUGGCCUGUGUCAGAUCCCAUGGUGAACAUCACGUUUGAACGUAACUCCAGCUCUAGGACGGUGUGGCUCAUUUUCUUCAAACUAAACUAGACAAACAAGUUGAUUUGACUUAAAAAAAAACAGUUUUGUAAAUUCAAUCUAUCCUUUCAGUUUUAUCUGAAUUCUUCAUGAAUCAUGAGUCGAAGAGUUUUUAUCAUCUUCGUGAUACCCUUGUUGUUGAUUUCUUCAUCUACGCAUGUUGAAUCAGGUGAAGAUGGGUAUAUAUCUUUUGGUAUUUCUGAAAAGGGUCUUGAAUUUGCUAAGGAUUUACUGAUAAACACUGCGAUUUCAUCUUUGAUUCCUCUUCAAUUGCCCAAAAUCGAACAAAAUGUUCAAAUCCCACUUGUGGGUAAAGUUCGUAUGGUUCUGUCGGAUAUUGUUAUAUAUCAGGUUAACGUUCCCACCUCGAUUGUUCAACCUGGGGAGAUGGGUGUUACCAUAGUUGCGUCUGGUGCGACUGCGAAUUUGAGUUUCGAAUGGAGUUAUUCUUAUAGCACUUGGUUGUUUGAGUUUUCCGAUAGUGGGGUCGCCUAUGUUCAGGUAGAUAUUGCAGCAAAAUUGGUUUGAAUUCGCUUCUUGGCUUUAGGUGAAUUUACUAGUUUUGGUUUGUACUAUUUGUUGUAGUUCAAGGGGUGUUUAGUUAUGCAUCUCAAAACUGAACUGAUUAUAUGAGGUUUUUAGUGCUUAAUAACCUACUGCUUUAAAGGUGAAACAACUAGUUUUGAAGCUGCCAAAUGCUUAUUUAUGCACACUCUUUUACCCUUUUCCAGGUUUAUGAAACAAUGGUUUUUUUACAUGAAGUAUGCAAGCACGUUUCAUUUUGUUGUCAAUAUAUACUAACAUCUUACUUGCAACAUGUUUCAUCGGUUAGUUUAUUAUCUGUUCACAAACACCUCAUUAAGAUUAUGGUGUAGCUUAACUGUGAAGCAUUUUGACUUAUAAGAAGAAUCUUCUGUUGUCAUAAUCGACAAAAUAAUUCAUAUGGGUUUAAAGAGAACAUCAAUAUGUAUCCACUUAAGUGUUUAAAUGAAAAAAUAAAACAGUAAGAUGUUGCAUAUUUUUGGUACUAAAUUCAAACAUAGUUCAUGUAAAAAACCACUUGAUGGAAAGGUGAAAUAUUGUUGCAAUUAACCCUUUUGAAUAGUGGGCUUGAUGCUAAUACAAAACUGACUAUCCAAGAAGAGUAAAAGUAGUUAUAUACCUUUAGAAUGCUAACAUUAUUGUUUGUGGGGUUGCUCUUGCUUUUAUUAAAUCUACACUGCCUCUUUUUUUUCUUUUCUUGUUUAGUAGGAAGCUAGCUAAUGAAUAGUGUGCGUGUUAAGGUUGAAGGUAUGGAAAUAGGGAUGACUCUUGGUUUAAAGAACCAACAAGGGACUCUCAGAUUGUCUCCUGAAGACUGUGGAUGCUAUGUUAGUUAUAUCUCCAUUAAGUUAGAUGGAGGGGCAUCUUGGCUUUAUCAAGGGUAUUAUCCUUUUUAUUUGUUACAAUUUCAAGAUCAUUCAUAACAUUACUCUAUUCAUGUGUUUGUAAUUGUAUGCUAAUAGAAUCAGAAAUGCUUUCCCUUUUGCAAAAUUUUGCCAUUAGUAAUGAUUAUUUUGUCUAGAUGUAUAUUGAUAGCAAGGCUAAAUUAGGUUGCCAUUUUCUGCAAUUUGUAUAAAAUGCAACGAAGAAUCAUCCGUGGCAUUUUGUCCAUUAUCGUGCAUUCUUGCCAAGUAUGAUGUUGAUUUUGUAUUUUUGCAACAAGUAUGGUUGAAAGAAAAGGCAAGUAGGAUGUUUUGGAAAGUCUUAACUUUGUUUUAUUGACCUCUCUCAUAUUAUCCUUUUUGCAGAAUAGUUGAUUAUUUUGAAGAUGACAUAGUAUCAGCAGUUGAAGAUACCAUCACCAACAAAGUCACGGAUGCAGUGAUAAAACUGGAUUCAGUUUUUCAAACAUUCCCAAAAGAAAUCAGUUUUGGCAAUAUCACUGCUUUAAAUGUCACCAUCACGGAGGGCCCCACCAUGACCACUACUUCUCUUCUCAUUGGCAUCAAUGGCUUAUUUACACAAAUUGACCCGAAAGCAACUUUGGUGGGUCAUUACACCAACAAUUUACCAUCAACAGGAACAGGAACAGGGUCGUGUAGUAACUCAGAGAAGAUGGUUGGAAUUUCAGUACACGAAAACGUUCUUAACUCAGCAUCAACGGUUUACUUCAAUGUAAGCCCUCGUACUUUGAAGAGAUAUGCAUAUUGGGUCCUUGUGUUUUUCCUACUCUCACUAGUUGUAUAUGUUCUUGUUUCAGUCAAAGAAGAUGUAUUGGGUUGUUGAUAACUUACCGGAUCAGAAGAUAUUGAACACUGCCGAAUGGAGAUUUAUAAUUCCAAAGUUGUAUAAAGAAUACCCGAAUGAUGACAUGAGCUUCAAUUUCACUGUAUUGUCACCUCCACUCAUACAAAUCCAAAAUCAGGGUAUUGUUGCUACAGUAAACUCGGAUGUUUUUAUCAAUGUUGUGGAUGCUGGUGAAGUUAUUCCAGUUGCAUGUAUCUCUAUGGUAUGUCAACUUUAAAUCACUGUAAUGUAAUGUUUGUUUUAAAAAGAGUUGAAUUCAUCGACUCAUAUGGAUGGUAUUUUUAAUUUUUACAGGAGAUUGAAGCUUCUGGAUUUGCUGGGAUCAUAUCGACCACUCUUAAUGGUGGCAUUAGCUUAAGCAAACUCACAAUGUCUCUGAAAUGGAGUAAAAUUGGCACCCUGCAUAUGCUUCUUGUUCAGGUACAUUCAUCUUAACACUGUAAAUGGGGUCUUGAUAUCAUUCUUCAUUGUUUAAAAAAUAUAUAUGUAUAUUUGUGACUUUUGUAUUUCAAUUAAAAUGUUUUGGAAUUUUUGCAGUCUGUGAUGUCAAGGCUUCUGAAAUCGAUCAUUGUACCGGUUGUAAAUUUGCGUCUAAGGGUAGGCUACUCGUUACCUGAUUUCCAUGGAUAUGAGCUUCAGAAUGCUUCGAUUAUCUAUCAUGAUUCAAAAAUCCUUGUUUGUAGUGAUAUUGCACGUGCAUAUGAUGACUACAUUCCUCAUCGAUUUUAUUAUGAAUAAAAAUUAAACAUUCUUGUAAAUGUGUAUCGUUACAAUUACAACAGUGUUUGUGAUCAAGAUGUCACGACAAAAAGUCUCGGGAUAAUAGAGUCUUUGUAUAUAUAUUGCAAUAGUAUUUUAUUAGAAUUUAUGUUGUAAAUGCUAUAAUCUAGUUGUACAUUUGGAGACCAACAUCAAAUAAAUACAAGUCUGCAGUGUUGGAGAAAAUGGAUAGGAAAUUAAGCACCAGUGUUUAGAGUGGUUGAAUGGUUAAACAAUUAAAUUAAACAAAAUUCUUAUUUUGUUAAUUUUUUGUUUAAAAUUGAAUUAAAAUAGAAAAUUAAACACAAUUUCCGUUACAAAUUUUGUGUUUAAUAUUGAUUUAAUUCAAUAAAUAAUGUGUUGUUUUAUAAUCAUCAUAAAUUGUAACUAGAAGGAAUGCCCUCGCUUCGCUACGGGUUGGGGAAAAUUUGGGGAAAAUUGCAAAACAUGUUUAUAUUUGGCAUUUAGUUCAUNNNNNNNNNNNNNNNNNNNNNNNNNNNNNNNNNNNNNNNNNNNNNNNNNNNNNNNNNNNNNNNNNNNNNNNNNNNNNNNNNNNNNNNNNNNNNNNNNNNNGUUAUCUACAAUAAUUUUCUUAACCACACAAAUCUUCCACCUCUUAGUAGAUGUUUGUUUAAAAUAAGUAGAAAUAGACAAAAAAAUAUUCAAGGCAUUUUCUUCAAUCAUACACACAUAACCAUAUACAUAAAACAGCACACACGUUGUAUGAUGUGUGUGGUUGUGCUUAAGUGGUUGUGUGUGGCGAAGUGUCUGGCCUUAAAACCACGAUUGGAGUAUAUUUUCAAAGUACAAUGCUAUAAUUACAAAUAAAGUACGAUGCUUUAAUGAGAUUACCUUUUCAAAGUACUCUACUCUUGAUAGGUAACCUCCUUAAGAUAAUUAUCCACCAGAAAAAAAGCCAUAUUGCUGCAAAAGACAAAAAAAAAGUUAGAAUGUUGAGUCAAAGUGCUAGGCUUUACGUAAGAAACAAUGAGUUCUAAAAACUUUUUUUUUUUUUUUUUUUUAAUUUGAGUUUCAUUCACACCACUUACAUGCUAUUCAUCUGAAAAUGUAUAAGCAAUUAAAAAUCUAAAAACUUAAUUUUGUACCUUUUCAACAUUUUCUCUUCACCCCUUACAAUAGUAUAACAUUUUCCUUGCCAAUAACUUCAAAAACAGUUUAUGUCCAUGUAAUGUAUUUUUGGAUUGAGUCCAUUAAAAACUUUUUUGCAAAUUUGGUCCUGAUUUCAACUUUUUUAAUGUUUUUGGUCCAUCUCACUCCCACCCAAUGUUUUAAAAACCGGUUUUUUAGUUGAACCGGUAUGGUAACCGGUCCCCGGUUCAACCGGUUCGACCGCCGGGUUAUAUUUUUCAUGUUUUUUUCUAUUUACCUACACUUACAUACAUAUAGAAAUUAUGAAUUUGAUGUUUACAAGUUCAAACAUUAAAAAUACACAUAAAAAUAAGUUGUAGAUGAAUCCAAAUACAUUAAAUAAUACAUAACCAUAAGUUUUAGUGUUUUUACAUCAAUCUAUAUACGUCAAAAAGAAAAUAAAAUAUAAUAUCGAAACGAAAUAUAGUUUUUGAUGAAUACAAACACAUCAAAAUUUUUUAUAACAUUUACCAUAUGUUUUUAUUUAGAGAAAACUAAAUUGAUUUGAAAAAAAUCAUCAAAGUUUAUUAUGUAAAUUGUUCUUUUUCAUGUGUUUUUAUUCAGUUUAACCGGUUCAACCAGUUUAUUUUGACUGAUCCAACCGGUUUUUUCUAAAAACCGGCCGGUUCAAUCCGGUUCAGAAAUCAAUGUAAAACCGUUGAUAGUUGAACCGCUCCCUCUCCCAGUUCCCGGUCCAACCNCCGGUUCGACCGGCCGGUUCAAACUGGUUUUUAAAACAUUGCUCCCACCAUUAACAAAACAAUAUUAAAUCCACUUAAAAUGACCAUCUUACCCCUAUAUAUAACUCUUGCACCUUGAAGCCUCCAAAGGUGACAAAGUGAAAGUCCAUUCAACCGGUAAUUGAAGACACCAUAGCAAUGCCAAUUUUAUCCUCCUUACCACACUGCACCUACAUACAACUUCAUUUCCAUUCGUGAUAUAAAAUGAGUUCAUUUCCAUUUGUUGGUAAUAAAAGGGUAUUUUUAUUUAAUUAUACUUCAAAUCCAUAAAGUAAAAAACAAAAAAGAAUAAAAAAAUAACAGGCAUUUGCAAAGCUUGUAGACCAUGUAAUUCUUCAAAUUUUAACCCUCCAAAUUAAUAAGAAAACGAUAAAGAUUGGAUUACUUACCAAAAGGUUAAUGAUUAUCUAGUGUUUUUGCUCAUCAAAUCUUAUAUUUCGGAUACAAUGGGAAAAUUGUAAAAUAUGUAGACAUAUAUGACCUUGGAAUUGAAAAAGUAGAAGCCAAAGUUCUUAUGUAUGAAAAAAAUCAAAAAGGAAGAGAAAAAAAAAUGAUUAAGGUAAAAAAAAAAAUUAAACAUAUAUUCAUUGUGAAUACAAUAUGCAUGAUACUUUUCUUCAUUUUUUAUAUUUAGAUUGAAAAUGACAUGAAAAUUCAUCACUUUGUCAGACAAAAUAUACCGGUAAAUUUUACAAUUUAAGUCAAAAUUGAGUUGAAAUAUCACCUAUUUGUCCAUAAAAGUCAGAAUUUGCCUUUUGUGUCCAUUCCGUUAGUAAAAAAAGUAACAUAUAACAUUGAAGUUUGCAGACCAGGUACCUUAACUUAGUUGCUGUCAAACAACAGAGCCAAAUAGUACCAACAAUUGAAAAUUUAUCAAAAAUAAAUGCAAGUCGGUUAAAUAGACCAUAAAUAAGAACAAAAAAAAAUGAUAAACCAGAUCAAAUACCGAUAAAAAAAGCCCAUAGCUUUACCGAAAGCACACAAUAGCUUGAUUCAUGCACCUAAAUUAAAUUCAUCUUUCCCAGAUCGUGAAAAUUGAUGAUUCUGUUCAGCAGAAAACCAAAACAUCAUAAAAAUUUUCUAAGAAAACAUUUGUUUUCCAUGAGAGGUUAAUGUAUUUCAUCACCAAAAAGUUGACAAUUUCACAAUACUUUACAAACAAACGUAUAUAGAUAAUUCCAAGAACAAUUCUUAAACAAAAUUUAAACAAAUCGAACCUGGAAUUUUGGAAGUCGGAUUCAUGAUCCGACGAAUCUGAAUCUCCUCUUAAGAAUAGAAGAUAAAGGAAAAUCGGAAGCAAAGAGAUUUGGGAGAAAUCGAUUAUUUGUACAGAGUAUAGAUAGACAAAGAGAGCAGUGAGAGUACCCCAUUGAUUGCGGUGUUGAUGAUGACAGAGUUUUGGCUUUGAAGAGGUGUCGCUUCUAUUAACAGAGGAAGACAGAUAGGGAGCACCACCAUCACCAGCGCCGAUGUGCGUUGCUGUUUUUUCCUGCUUCCCUUUCAACCUCGUCCAGUCUAUCUAUCUUGGGCGUUAUUUUCUAGUCAUUCAAAACACACACAAUCUUGAACAACAAAAUUACACAUACCCAAAUCAGAUUUAAGGCGAAAGCUCCAAACCUAGAGAAACAUCAGGGCGAAUGGAUUGCGAUGCACAUUAAGAAGCAGAGAAAGUUCGACAAUCAGCGUACCAUAUGGAGCCGGGGUGGGAAAGCGGACAGCGGGCACUUACAGCUGCGGGACCGUCAUGGUUUUCUUCCUUGUCGGGUCUAGACAAUUCAAAUCGGAGCAAUUGGAUGUCAAAUUUGGGCCUAGACGACAUGACCAACUGUAAUCGAGGAUUUGGAGAAGAUGGAGAUGAAGCGGAGGGUACAAUCGGCAGUGAGGUGGUUUUAAGUCUGAGUCAUUGGGUUAAGAGGCGGUGAAGGAAACGUUGGAACUGAGUAGUUGCCGCGGAUGACAGGUGUGAACAUACGUGUGAAAGAACACGUGUCCACAAACAUAUAUACAAUGUGACAAAAAACGACCUACUGCAAAGAGCAACCCAAAUGAGAUAGAAGUGAACCCACAUCAAUAAAUAAG
RNAcentral lists this long non-coding RNA (15856 nucleotides) under Lactuca sativa (garden lettuce). Its description in RNAcentral is "long non-coding RNA (LSAT_LNC004803)". Lineage: Eukaryota; Viridiplantae; Streptophyta; Magnoliopsida; Asterales; Asteraceae. The record is from RNAcentral.